Molecule: RNA transcript, 1343 nt
Organism: Vicia villosa (hairy vetch)
Lineage: Eukaryota; Viridiplantae; Streptophyta; Magnoliopsida; Fabales; Fabaceae
Gene name: transcription factor BEE 3-like
Exons: 7
Source: RefSeq, a predicted model, not a curated record
AAAUUCAUUCCAAAAGCUUUUAAAUGAUUUUACCGUGACUCCAUCAUCAGUUUUUUUACUAACCCUCCUCCAAAUCUUCCUUCUCCCAAAUGAUUGCUCCUCCCCUAAUCUAUUGUUCGUUCACGGAAUCGAUUGAUUCAUUCCCCAAAUCGAUUGAUUCCUUCACCGAAUCAUUUGUUACUUCAUCAAAUCGAUUGUUCCUUCGCCGAAUCGAUUGUUACUUCACUGAAUCGUUUUUCCCCAAAUCAAUUUUGUUUCUAUGAAGUGAUUUUUCCUUCCCCGAAUCUAUUGUUCCUUCACCGAAUUAAUUUUGUAGUUGAUCUCCAAUCCAUAUCGAUUUCCUAUUUUCCAUUCCCCAAAUUAAUUUUCUCUUCUACAAAUAAUUUUUAUUUCUACAUUGAAAUCUUCGAGAUUUGUGGUUCUCUUUUCAAUUAUCCCAAACUGAUGCUACAAGAGUGAUUCGCUUGAAGUUGGAGUUCAAGAGCUAUUUGUGAGAGUUCGACUUUUGGUUUUGUGUGUUCUUUAUUCUAUGUAAUAACUUUGUUCAGAUCUCAUCAUAACAUGGAAAUUAGCAUAUGAAAAAGUAAGCACAUGAGUUAGGACUUUGCAAGGAAGGUGAAACUUCAUAUCGUAGGAUGGAUAUGUUAAUAAACUUCUCAAAUCCAUACAUUGCAAAGAGGUUUGAUGUCAAUGCUUUUGUAUGUGCAUUUAGGAUGAACUUGUUUGAGUUGUAGCAAUGGAGGAGGCAUAAUUUAACUUGCGUAUAUCACAAAUAUUUGCAAAAGGUUAGAAGAGGAAAAACCAAUGAGAAAUUGAGAGGCUUGAAGAACAUUGUUCCAGAAUGUUACAAGACCAUGGAAAUGGAAGUAAUGUUGAAUGGAAUCAUAAACUAUGUUCGGUCAUUGGAGCAUCAAGUAGUGUUUCUUUCAUUGAAGCUUACUGCAGCUAGUACUUAUUAUGAUUUCAAUUCAGAAGCAGAUGAUUUAGAAACAAUGCAGAAUAGAUACUACUUUGGCCGAAUGACGCAUGUAAUGAGGAUGAAGUAGGUGAAGAACUUCAAGAGGAUGAUAUUGGUGAUGAAUUUCAUGUAUUGUUACGUUAGGCAUUUUAGGUAUUGGCUACUAUCUUGAAUUAAUGUUUGAACUAGAUUUUAUAGAUAGUACUUUGGCCGAAUGACGCAUGUAAUGAGGAUGAAGUAGGUGAAGAACUUCAAAAGGAUGAUAUUGGUGAUGAGUUUCAUGUAUUGUUACGUUAGGCAUUUUGUAUUUUGUGUAUUGGCUACUAUCUUGAAUUAAUGUUUGAAUUAGAGUUUAUUAUACAAUUUUUGUUGAUGGACGGUUAAA